GCUGGAUUCGCUAGUAAUCGCGCAUCAGCCACGGCGCGGUGAAUACGUUCCCGGGCCUUGUACACACCGCCCGUCACACCAUGAGAGUUGGGGAUACCCGAAGCCUGUGAGCUAACUAUUUAUAGGAGCAGCAGUCGAAGGUAGAAUCAAUGAUUGGGGUGAAGUCGUAACAAGGUAAC
Molecule: ribosomal RNA, 179 nt
Filed under: uncultured bacterium
Lineage: Bacteria
Description: partial 16S ribosomal RNA
Rfam family: Bacterial small subunit ribosomal RNA
Source: RNAcentral